Molecule: ribosomal RNA, 551 nt
Filed under: uncultured bacterium
Lineage: Bacteria
Description: bacterial SSU rRNA
Rfam family: Bacterial small subunit ribosomal RNA
Source: RNAcentral
UAGGGAAUCUUCGCGCAAUGGACGGAAGUCUGACCGAGCAACGCCGCGUGAGUGAAGAAGGUUUUCGGAUCGUAAAGCUCUGUUGUAAGAGAAGAACGAGUGUGAGAGUGGAAAGUUCACACUGUGACGGUAUCUUACCAGAAAGGGACGGCUAACUACGUGCCAGCAGCCGCGGUAAUACGUAGGUCCCGAGCGUUGUCCGGAUUUAUUGGGCGUAAAGCGAGCGCAGGCGGUUAGAUAAGUCUGAAGUUAAAGACUGUGGCUUAACCAUAGUACGCUUUGGAAACUGUUUAACUUGAGUGCAAGAGGGGAGAGUGGAAUUCCAUGUGUAGCGGUGAAAUGCGUAGAUAUAUGGAGGAACACCGGUGGCGAAAGCGGCUCUCUGGCUUGUAACUGACGCUGAGGCUCGAAAGCGUGGGGAGCAAACAGGAUUAGAUACCCUGGUAGUCCACGCCGUAAACGAUGAGUGCUAGGUGUUAGACCCUUUCCGGGGUUUAGUGCCGCAGCUAACGCAUUAAGCACUCCGCCUGGGGAGUACGACCGCAAGGUUG